RNAcentral lists this ribosomal RNA (468 nucleotides) under uncultured bacterium. RNAcentral describes it as "partial 16S ribosomal RNA". It matches the Rfam family "Bacterial small subunit ribosomal RNA", at positions 28 to 507 of the family's 1533-position model. The record is from RNAcentral.
GACGAACGCUGGCGGCGUGCUUAACACAUGCAAGUCGAACGGAAAGGCCCGGCUUUUGUGGGGUGCUCGAGUGGCGAACGGGGGAGUAACACGUGAGUAACCUGCCCUUGACUUUGGGAUAACUUCAGGAAACUGGGGCUAAUACCGGAUAGGAGCUCCUGCUGCAGGGUGGGGGUUGGAAAGUUUCGGCGGUUGGGGAUGGACUCGCGGCUUAUCAGCUUGUUGGUGGGGUAGUGGCUUACCAAGGCUUUGACGGGUAGCCGGCCUGAGAGGGUGACCGGCCACAUUGGGACUGAGAUACGGCCCAGACUCCUACGGGAGGCAGCAGUGGGGAAUAUUGCACAAUGGGCGGAAGCCUGAUGCAGCAACGCCGCGUGCGGGAUGACGGCCUUCGGGUUGUAAACCGCUUUCGCCUGUGACGAAGCGUGAGUGACGGUAAUGGGUAAAGAAGCACCGGCUAACUACGUG